This 399-nucleotide ribosomal RNA is filed under the name uncultured bacterium. RNAcentral describes it as "bacterial SSU rRNA". It matches the Rfam family "Bacterial small subunit ribosomal RNA", at positions 358 to 774 of the family's 1533-position model. The record is from RNAcentral.
GGAAUAUUGCACAAUGGGGGAAACCCUGAUGCAGCGACGCCGCGUGAGUGAAGAAGUAUUUCGGUAUGUAAAGCUCUAUCAGCAGGGAAGAAAAUGACGGUACCUGACUAAGAAGCCCCGGCUAACUACGUGCCAGCAGCCGCGGUAAUACGUAGGGGGCAAGCGUUAUCCGGAUUUACUGGGUGUAAAGGGAGCGUAGACGGCAUGGCAAGUCUGAAGUGAAAUGCGGGGGCUCAACCCCUGAACUGCUUUGGAAACUGUUAAGCUAGAGUGUCGGAGAGGUAAGUGGAAUUCCUAGUGUAGCGGUGAAAUGCGUAGAUAUUAGGAGGAACACCGGUGGCGAAGGCGGCUUACUGGACGAUGACUGACGUUGAGGCUCGAAAGCGUGGGGAGCAAACA